CAGCCGCCGCGGUAAAACGAAGGGGGCUAGCGUUGCUCGGAAUCACUGGGCGUAAAGGGUGCGUAGGCGGGUCUUUAAGUCAGGGGUGAAAUCCUGGAGCUCAACUCCAGAACUGCCUUUGAUACUGAAGAUCUUGAGUUCGGGAGAGGUGAGUGGAACUGCGAGUGUAGAGGUGAAAUUCGUAGAUAUUCGCAAGAACACCAGUGGCGAAGGCGGCUCACUGGCCCGAUACUGACGCUGAGGCACGAAAGCGUGGGGAGCAAACAGGAUUAGAUACCCCCGUAGUCCCUGUCUCUUAUAC
Molecule: ribosomal RNA, 301 nt
Filed under: uncultured bacterium
Lineage: Bacteria
Description: partial 16S ribosomal RNA
Rfam family: Bacterial small subunit ribosomal RNA
Source: RNAcentral